RNAcentral lists this non-coding RNA (29 nucleotides) under Homo sapiens (human). The record is from RNAcentral. Lineage: Eukaryota; Metazoa; Chordata; Mammalia; Primates; Hominidae.
UGGACCACAAGUGCUUCAUGGGCAUGGCC